UGAUAGUUUAGGGCUGUGCUGCCUCCUGUCCCCACCUGAUGGAGUACACUACCCAGCACCAGGGUGACUUCAACACAGCUGCAUAGUUACUUGAAGGUUGAGAAAAAAAAUCGUCAGGCAGGCAGGCAGGCAUAUUCUUUCAACCGUCAAGUCCAGCAGCUGUCAAAAUGCAAUGGAAAUCGGGUGAUUUCGGAAGGGCUAACCCCCAAAACGGACUUUGGAAUCUGCCUGCCUUCAUGGAAGUGUCACAAGCAUUUUAUACUAGGCAAUCUAUUCAAAAAUAAAGAAAACUAUCAAAUGAA
This is a long non-coding RNA of Alosa sapidissima (American shad), 302 nucleotides long. RefSeq lists it as uncharacterized. NCBI's taxonomy places the organism in Eukaryota, Metazoa, Chordata, Actinopteri, Clupeiformes, Clupeidae. The transcript has 2 exons. The record is from RefSeq and is a predicted model, not a curated record.